RNAcentral lists this ribosomal RNA (460 nucleotides) under uncultured bacterium. RNAcentral describes it as "partial 16S ribosomal RNA". It matches the Rfam family "Bacterial small subunit ribosomal RNA", at positions 338 to 795 of the family's 1533-position model. The record is from RNAcentral.
CCUACGGGAGGCAGCAGUGAGGAAUAUUGGUCAAUGGGCGGAAGCCUGAACCAGCCAAGUCGCGUGAGGGAAUAAGGCCCUACGGGUCGUAAACCUCUUUUGCCGGGGAGCAAGGGCGGGGACGUGUCCCGGCCCGGAGAGUACCCGGAGAAAAAGCAUCGGCUAACUCCGUGCCAGCAGCCGCGGUAAUACGGAGGAUGCGAGCGUUAUCCGGAUUUAUUGGGUUUAAAGGGUGCGUAGGCGGGCUUUUAAGUCAGCGGUAAAAAUUCGGGGCUCAACCCCGUCCGGCCGUUGAAACUGGGGGCCUUGAGUGCGCGAGAAGUAUGCGGAAUGCGUGGUGUAGCGGUGAAAUGCAUAGAUAUCACGCAGAACUCCGAUUGCGAAGGCAGCAUACCGGCGCGCAACUGACGCUCAUGCACGAAAGCGUGGGUAUCGAACAGGAUUAGAUACCCGGGUAGUC